ACUCCUGCGGGAGGCAGCAGUGGGGAAUUUUGGACAAUGGGCGAAAGCCUGAUCCAGCCAUGCCGCGUGCAGGAUGAAGGCCUUCGGGUUGUAAACUGCUUUUGUACGGAACGAAACGGCCUUUUCUAAUAAAGAGGGCUAAUGACGGUACCGUAAGAAUAAGCACCGGCUAACUACGUGCCAGCAGCCGCGGUAAUACGUAGGGUGCAAGCGUUAAUCGGAAUUACUGGGCGUAAAGCGUGCGCAGGCGGUUAUGUAAGACAGUUGUGAAAUCCCCGGGCUCAACCUGGGAACUGCAUCUGUGACUGCAUAGCUAGAGUACGGUAGAGGGGGAUGGAAGUCCGCGUGUAGCAGUGAAAUGCGUAGAUAUGCGGAGGAACACCGAUGGCGAAGGCAAUCCCCUGGACCUGUACUGACGCUCAUGCACGAAAGCGUGGGGAGCAAACAGGAUUAGAAACCCGGGUAGUCCCAUGAU
RNAcentral lists this ribosomal RNA (475 nucleotides) under uncultured organism. RNAcentral's name for it is "partial 16S ribosomal RNA". It matches the Rfam family "Bacterial small subunit ribosomal RNA", at positions 335 to 801 of the family's 1533-position model. The record is from RNAcentral.